RNAcentral lists this ribosomal RNA (467 nucleotides) under uncultured bacterium. RNAcentral describes it as "partial 16S ribosomal RNA". It matches the Rfam family "Bacterial small subunit ribosomal RNA", at positions 28 to 507 of the family's 1533-position model. The record is from RNAcentral.
GAUGAACGCUGGCGGCGUGCUUAACACAUGCAAGUCGAACGGAAAGGCUCCUGCUUGCAGGGGUACUCGAGUGGCGAACGGGUGAGUAACACGUGGGUGAUCUGCCCUGCACUUCGGGAUAAGCCUGGGAAACUGGGUCUAAUACCGGAUAGGACCACAUUUUGGAUGGUGUGGUGGAAAGUUUUUCGGUGUGGGAUGAGCUCGCGGCCUAUCAGCUUGUUGGUGGGGUAAUGGCCUACCAAGGCGUCGACGGGUAGCCGGCCUGAGAGGGUGUACGGCCACAUUGGGACGGAGAUACGGCCCAGACUCCUACGGGAGGCAGCAGUGGGGAAUAUUGCACAAUGGGCGCAAGCCUGAGGCAGCGACGCCGCGUGGGGGAUGACGGCCUUCGGGUUGUAAACUCCUUUCGCUAGGGACGAAGCGUUUUUGUGACGGUACCUGGAGAAGAAGCACCGGCUAACUACGUG